This 7759-nucleotide long non-coding RNA is filed under the name Sorghum bicolor (sorghum). RNAcentral describes it as "long non-coding RNA (SBIC_LNC003931)". The record is from RNAcentral. Lineage: Eukaryota; Viridiplantae; Streptophyta; Magnoliopsida; Poales; Poaceae.
ACUCUCUUGAGUGUUAUUAGUGCUGCCAAACCAGCUAUAGCCAAUUAUCCAUUUACCACAUUGCUACCAAACCUUGGUGUGGUCUCAUUAGAUUUUGAUGCUACAAUGGUAGUUGCUGAUCUUCCUGGCUUACUGGAAGGCGCUCAUCGUGGUUACGGUUUGGGUCAUGAGUUCCUAAGGCAUAGUGAGCGAUGCUCUGUCUUGGUAUGUUCCCUUUUCCAUUCUUUACUAUAAUCUUAAUAUAUGCGUCAAAUUUCAUAUGGUUAUGACAACAUAAUCACAAGAUUACUUAUCUUGGCAUGACUGUGCUGAUAAUUGUUUUAUGGCUUGGAGCAUUAGGUGCAUGUCGUUGAUGGUUCUGCACAACAACCAGAAUAUGAGUUUGAGGCAGUUCGCUUGGAGCUGGAGUUAUUUAGUCCAUCUUUGGUUGACAAACCCUAUGUGGUGGUGUUCAAUAAGAUGGACCUUCCAGAGGCAUCUGAGAGAUGGAAUACAUUUAGGGAAAAGGUACAGUCUGAGGGCAUUGAACCUUUCUGCAUUAGUGCAAUAAACAGGCAAGGCAUGCAGGAUGUCAUUCAUGCUGCUUACAAGCUUCUUCAGAAAGAGAGGCAGAGGAUGAAGGAAACUGAAGGUGCUUAUUUAUCCUCUCAGUUUAGCUAUAGCUGUGGCCAGCCACAAUAACUUACUCAAGGCUGAAGCUGGUUUUACACUAUGCUUCAUUUCUUUUUGAGCUUUUCAUCUUGAAACUAUAUAUUGCUGCAGGAUGGAGUGGGCCAGAAAAUCUGAACCACGUAUCUGAUGCAAUAAAAAAGGAAAGACGUGCACCCAUGAAUGAGUUUGAGGUUUUCCAUGAUAAGGGUACAAAUACAUGGAAUGUUGUUGGAGCUGGAAUCGAGCGUUUUGUUCAGAUGACUAACUGGCAGUAAGUAGUUUUGUCGCAGCGCUAAUUGUUGGUGCCACUACACUACACUACACUACACAUUUUCUAACGUCUUCUCCUGAUGAAGGUACUCGGACUCCUUGAAAAGGUUUCAGCAUGCCCUAGAGGCAUGUGGUGUCAACAGAGCUCUUAGCAAACAGGGAGUUAAAGAAGGUGAUACGGUGAUAAUUGGUGAGGUAUGUAUGCACACUAAUCAGGGCACAAUGGAUCGCUGAACUAAAAGAAGCACAAAAAUCAUUUUGUCACACACUGGUGGGCACGCACAUGGAUUAUCGCUUUCAACAAGAAUUGCUUUCUCUGUAGAUGGAAAUGGUUUGGAACAACGAAACGGAUAGGGCUCGUCCGUCAAAGACGAUGAACACACAAGAUGAUGCUGUCCGGUGGCCUGAAUUCGGCUAGAGCAGUAAUAGUUCUUGAGCUUCUUCGUAGCUGUAGAGGUAAGUCUUAGUGAAAAGCUUGGCACUAGCCUUACUGAGGCAUUGUUUCGCAUAAAAAGAGAAACUUCACUGAAGCAUCGAAGAGCUGAUACUGCUCACAGACCAUAUGGAUGCACCUUUUGAUCGUCUUUGUUUCUUUAUCUGGGAUUUUGAACACAUCGCCUCAUUUUGCAUCCGCUUGAUGUUUCGCAGGAAGAUACCAGUAGUUGACGCGCAAAAUGCAGAUCUUCGUGCAGUCUGCAUGCAAUUGACAUGGUUUUGAGGAGAAGAGAAAUGCUUCAGAUCAGUAGGCGCUUUGUAUUUAGCGCUAAAGAUGCUUCUACAUGCUCCCGCGAGGAGAGCUUCCGUUGUAGAGGACGAUGAGCACGUGCAACGCAGCGAUUUACAUGCACCCCGAGAUGGCUCUUGAGAGUAAAUUUACAUGCACACAGAAAGAAAGUUAAGAUAAAAUAUAAAUUUAAGGAUUUUGUUUAGGAAAGAAAAGAAAAAAAGAAUAAAUGGGCAUUCAGUUAGGAAAAGAACUACAUAAUCCCUAAAACUAAAAAAAGGAAUAAAUGGGCAUUCAUUUAGGAAAAAGUCUACAUAAUUCUCAAAACUAUUUAGGGUAGACUAUUUUACCCUCUGAACUAUAAAACCGAAUAUUCUACCACCUGAACUUUUCAAAACCGGUUAAAUAACCCUCUCAAACUCUGAUUUGGAGGGUGGUUUUGUCUUUUUCUUUUUUAUUUGUUUUUGUUGAAUAUUUGAAAAAACAUAAUAAAUCAUAGAAAAAACAUAAAAUGGAAAAUCUAAUCUUGUUGGAACCCCCAUGAGUAAUACGGUAUGCUUUAGUACAAAGUUUUUGCUAUAGCUUCAUAUCUAUGUUUUUCUGUAAUUAAUUAGAAUAAUUUAUAUACGCAGUUUCUAUGGUCCAAUUAUGAUGAGCUAAUUAUUAUCUGGUUGAAGUAUAGUAAAAAUUUUGUACCCGUAUAACUUUAGUUAUAGGUUUAUUUAGGUUUAAUCUUGUUAAAUUUAUGCUUAUCUAUAACUAAGUUAUAUGUGAUCCAAUGAAUAUGAAAUUUUUAUCAUAGUUCAAGCAUACAAUAAUGAGCCCACCAUAAAAAUUUUACCAUAAUUGGACCAUAGAAACUGCAUAUAUGAAUUGUUCUAAUUAAUUAUAGAAAAACAUAGAUUUAAAGUUAUAUUAAAAAACUUUAUACUAAAGUAUAUUAUAUUCUAUGUUCACUGUGUAGAUCUACUCAUCAAGAGUCCAACAAAAUUAGAUUUUAUAUUUUAUGAUUUUUCUGUGAUUUGUUAUGAUUUUUCAAAAAAUUGACGGAAAUAAAUAAAAAAAACAAAACCGUCCUCUAACACCACUCGAGAGAGUUAUUUGACUGGUUUUGAAAUAUUUAGGAGUAGAAUAUCUGAUUUUAUAGUUCAGGGAGUAAAAUAGAUUACACCGAAUAGUUGAGAGGUUAUGUAGAUUUUUUUUCCAUAUUAAAUUAAGUUAUAAGUUGCUUUAAUUUUUUUUUUCGAAGACGAAACCCCAACCUCGUUAUUAUCUUCUUACAAGUCCCGCACAAAGUUCGAUUGCGUAUCAUAAAGUGGAAACGGGACAUGGGCCCAAAAAUUUUGCAAAAUUUUUCAGAUUUUCCGUCACAUCGAAUCUUUAGACGUAUACAUGGAGUAUUAAAUAUAGAUAAAAAUAAAAACUAAUUGCACAGUUUGGUCGGAAUUGACGAGACGAAUCUUUUAAGCCUAGUUAGUCUAUAAUUAGACAAUAUUUAUCAAAUACAAACGAAAAUGUUACUAUUCAUAUUUUGCAAACUUUUUUGGAAGUAAACAAGGCCUAUAGCAAUCCUCCCCACUUUAGUCAGCAGACAGUACUAAGGCCCUGUUUAGAUUGGAGAUGAAAAUUUUUUGGGUGUCACAUCGGAUGUGUCGGAAGGAUGUCGGGAGAGGUUUUUAGAAUUUAAUAAAAAAAUAAAUUACAUAGCUCGUCAGGAAACUACAAGACAAAUCUAUUAAGUAUAAUUAAUUUGUCAUUAGCACAUGUGGGUUACUGUAGCACUUAAGGCUAAUCAUGGAGUAACUAGGCUUAAAAGAUUCGUCUCGCGAUUUUCAACCAAACUGUGUAAUUAGUUUAUUUUUUUAUGUACAUUUAAUGUUCCAUACAUGUGUCCAAAGAUUUGAUGGGAUGGAUGAAAAAAUUUUGGACGGAAAGGGCCUAAGAAGAUUGCAGCCACGAAAGGCAUGUGCAUGUAAACGGAAAAAAAAAUUAGGUGCGGACCGUCCUUACCUGGUACGGUGCGGAUCUCCACUAAUAUUACGAGGCAUGACUUCGAUUGGCUGGAGCCCCCAGCGCUUGCAGCCGCAAGGCCACAAUAGAUGUCCUCGGCUCUUAGUCUGGUUGGCGUUAGCUCGCACCCACAAGCUAAACGGGCUUGUUAAUUCGCGGCGGGUUUGAUCAUAGAUGGGAUUUUGGAAAAGCACUGCAAUUACAGCUACAGGAGACAGCCGCCAUCACGCGGUGCCACAGUAAUACUAGGUAGCGACAUAUAUAGUGUGAUCUAAUUCAAUUGGAGGCAGGUGAACGGCGGCCAGCAGCACAAACAAAAAACUGCAGAAGCAGUUGCCUUAUGAAGAAUUGGAAUCACAUCGCGCUUCUCCUUGACGGACGCCCCAUGCGCCUUGCUGGAAUCCAGCAGCUGUAUGUCCGGCACCAUCGGAUCAGGCGAGGCAGACAACGAGCUAAUGCAUCUUUGGCACUGAUGAUCUGAUGGGAGAGGCAGACGGCGAGGGGGAUUAUGUUGCAAAGUUGAGACAGGGAUAGCGAUCGAGAGCAAUUGCAGCCUUGCAGGUGGGGGUGGACGACGGUGUAGCAACUGCAAUUGGAGAGGAGAGAGCGGCGGCUGACCGACGUUGAGCACGAGGAGACGAACGAGAUUAGGCCGAGGCGCCAAGCCAUCAGCCGCGGCUGCCGCAUGGAGCCGAGUCCGAUCGCAAGCCAGCGCUGAGACGUGGAGUCAGCUGUAUCUACACUCGUCCACGUGUCGCAAUUUUACUGAAAGUCUGCACAGCGCCGGGUGAGGGUUACAUACACAAUGAAUAGGGCCCUUGACGCUAUCCUGAAUAGCAUCGAUCAACUAAUGAUAAAUCGAACUCACCAGACACUAGUUGCGUCCUCCGGGGCAGGUGGAUGCCUAACCAUCGUCCUCGGCAGGGCGAGUAUUUAAGCCUGCGUCAGUGGAAGGCAGAGUGAGAACUAUGCAUCAUCGAGGAAUCAUGAAAAUCCCACUAGAACUAAUUAAAUUUUAAACUGAGUAUCUGGUCAAGAGAGGCAACGAAAAAAAUGGUAUGUGUAUUACAUACCUGGAGCUUGGGCCAGUGCUUUCCCACGGAAACAAAGCAUAGAGAGAACGAAUGUUAUCGUGCAUGUUCCCGCAUCGCGAAGAGUUGGGUCCAACACCUGCACCACGCACGGACGACCACAGUAAUUGAACCGGCAACUAUAUAUGAAAGAAAAAUGCGAAAAUAACUCAAUUAAGCCUCUGCAAUAUUUCUAUACCUUGCAGACUUCAACUGCUGAAGCCGUCCUAAUGAUAUUCUGUUUCAAACCACUCAUUUGCUUCUUAUAGUCACUGUAAAGAGCAUCCACAUCUUGGCUGGGACUGUACUUUGUUAAGCCAUUUUCAAGUAAUAUGUAGUUAACACCUUCUACGGUGUCUUGAAGCAAGAUGUGGCUGAUUGCAGCCAAUCCUUCAAGAGCACCAAGGAGUGAGAUGACGGUUACCUUGUUGGCCUUCCCAUUGUAUGUGUCCUCGCCAACUUUCACAAAUAUGGACGCGUAGAUUUUAACUGUCUGCAAGUAUUUGAUUUAUGUUUUUAAAAAGAAAAAAAUUAUUAGUGAUGCAAUCGCAACUUGAGAAAAUGACAUAAACAAAUCAAAUUUGGUACCUGUUCUAUUGUAUUCAGAGAAAUUUCGGUUGGAUGUUGGAGCCUUGAAGAGGCACUUUCCUGAACCAAUAACAGAUAGAGAAUCUUAUUAGUCAGACAAACUGCAGCUACAUCACCCAAAUUUUUUUUUGACACAGACCAUGUACAAAGUUCAACUAAAACAAAUGCGAUUACCAUGACUCUCGAAGAUAAGGAGAGAGCUUGCGCAGCAGUCCAGUACAUCUCUAAUGACAUCUUGGCUUCUGCAUGCUACAAUUUCCCCAAGUUGUACCGUUGUCAUUUCUUUAUUAAUUAGUCUUUUAAGUACAAUAAUGUACAUUGACAUUAAAGAAAUCCAUCAUGUUAUGAAGUGUGGAUGAGCAUAGCUUACAAUUAAUUUGGAACAGAGGAGUACAUAACUUAAAAUGAAUAUGUGCUGAAGAAAAACUAACCAGGAUGUCCAAAUUAUUACGAGCAGAAAAAAUGUCCCAAAACUUGUCCAUAAUUUUCCGCUCCUCGUCACGAAACAUAUCCUAAAAUGACAAGUAAAUUAGUUUCAAAUUGCGGUACUAGUUAGUGCUGGAUGUGAGUAGUAAAACCGUGAAGAAAAAUAGGAAAUCGUCUACUAACCCUCCAAAAAAUAUAUAUAGCACACAGCACCUGUACUGUAAUAGUAUUUAAUUUAAAGUAAAACAAAUGCCAACAAAAACUAACCUUGCUAUUUAUUGUGCUAUCUUCAAUGGAAACACCCAACUUAGCCGCGUACUCCUCGGCGAACCUAUCUAUUUCCUCUCGUACCUUCUUGGCCCAGUCCGUCUUCUACAAUAGUACAGAUACAGUACAGUUAAUGUUAACAUUAGACUGACGAGAGAGUAGAGCGCAAUUGAUCAGCUCCGUCCAACGCAGAAUAGACAGAGAUGGAGCGAGUAAAUAAAGUUUUGAAUUCAUUACGCUGUCAUCCUCGUCGUCGUCGGGGGCUGGCUCACAUGACCGACGACGACCGGCGGUACAGCGGGACACAGGCUGCAGGAGGCGGCGAGCCGUGGCCGUGGCCGUCUGCAUCUUCAUCAGCUGGCCGCUCGAGAACCGCAGCAGGAAGGGUUUCCUUCCCAAGUUGCUGAGAGGCCUGAGGCCGGCGGUGGCCACCGGAGCUGCUGCAUGACUCGGUGGGCGAGGGAUGAGGAGAUGGACGCCCAUCGUCUUCCGGAGGCGCGCGGUGGCUGACGACGACGGAAGAUGAGCGGUGGCCGGCCGGUGGAUCGGAUGAGCUAGCUACUAGACGGCCGGGGACUACAUCCCUGCUGGAGUACAUCGUCGUACUUUAUAGUCUAGUAGUCGAUGCCUGGCUCGAUUAUUCCGAGUGCGUUUUGGCAAACAGCAUCCGUUUCGAUUCUCAUCGCCCCAACGCGUUUCUGGCGUACCGUUUCACGCGUCAAACGUUUGUCGAAUUUUGCUUGCCGAGUCAGAAACGGCCAGACGUGUUUCGCAGUGAUUCUCGUUAUAGCUUUUGAACGUUCCCUCCUACUUGCUACAAGAUUAAUUACAGCACCUGCCACUGUUUAUCCUCUCCCAGACGAGACAAUGGCCCCAUUUAGUUGCAGAAAUUUUUGUAAAAUAGCUACUUAUUUAGCACUUUCGUUUGUAUUUGAAAAUUAUUGUCUAAUCAUAGACAUCAAAAGUAUUAAUUUUUUCUAGAUAAUCUCAUCAUCAGUGAUUGGAAAGGUAAGUUGAUGUGCUAACUUGUUUUAUUCCUAAUGCACUGCAUUUGGCAUUGCUUAAUUCGUGGAAUUUCCUGGCUGCCUGGAUCCUUAUGUGAUUCACAUUGUUACAUGUUGGAGGAAUUCCUACUGCUUAUAAAUUUUCGACCAAUAAUAUUGAUAAGUCAUUUUUGUUGCAUAAAGGUCCUCAAAGAGUUGAAUGCCAUUGAAGUGAAAUACUUGAAAUCUUGAAUGACUCUAACAGUUAUCCACAAAUAAUCCAGCUCUACGUUUCGCUAACAUACAACUUUUUGAAGAUGCUGGUGUCUGGCAGGUCAUUAGAGUUGGAGGUUGGAGCUAAAGUCGUUGGUUGCCGAUGUAGGGAUUGUAGGUGCUCCAAAUGCUAAGAAGAGCACUCUUUUGAGUGUUAUUAGUGCCGCCAAGCCAGCUAUAUAUAGCCAAUUAUCCUUUUACCACAUUAUUGCUACCAAACCUUGGUGUGGUUUCAUUAGAUUUUGAUGCUACAAUAGUAGUAGUUGCUGACCUUCCUGGCUUGCCGGAAGGCGCUCAUCCUGGUUAUGGUUUGGGUCAUGAGUUCCUAAGACAUAGUGAGCGAUGCUCUGCCUUUGGUAUGCUCCCUUUUCCCUUCUACUCCAAUCUUAAUAUACGUAUCAAAUUCCACAUAUAUAUGGUUAUGAGAAAAUUACGCGAUUAUAUAUCUUGGCAUGACUGUGCUAAUAGUUGUUUUCUGGCUUGUUGGAACAUUAGGU